GGGAUGAGCAGGGCUCACAGGUGAAUCAUGGAAUAAAUGAAAAUCAGAAGCCCCCGAACAAGGUAGAAGGCUUAGUGAGCCCAGCCCUAAGCAGCUAUAGCCCUUGGGACUUUUCGUUUCCCUGAACACACGAUCCUGUGGUGAUGGACAGUCAGGAUUCCCCAGGGGGUUACUGGACCCUAAGACACCUUCCCAGUUGAGGAUCUUAGUUUCCUGACCUGGGAUCAAAUCCUACAUUGGCAGCUCGUAGUCGUAGCCAUGGGACUGCUAGGGAAGUUCCCAAGACUUGCUAUUUCAUGCAUUUGUUGCUGUGUGACCGGCUACCUCAAAACGUACAGGCUUCCCCUGAUUCAUCAGAUGAUUGCCAGAAUGAUGAUGCAAUGACUCUCAGCCCUCAACACGCUGGAAUCUCCUGGGGGAAUUUGGAAAAACCCGUGUCCAACCCCACCCUUCACCUGGUAGAUUCAAAUCAAAUCACUGGGCUGGGUCCCUAUAUCCAUGGGGCUUCAAGUUCCUCCAGGUGAUUCAAAUAUGCACCCAGGUUUGAUAACCUCCCUUUCUAGAAGCUGCUCUGCCGUGAGCGUGGGGGACGGAUCUGUCUUCCUUGCCCUACCCCCUGUCUGUCAGGUGCUGGUGGCUGAUAAAACACUCGCUUAAUGGAUGAUGAGACCCACCCUUGACCCACCACACUCGGAAUGGCCUCAGCUGUCCCAUUCCCCCAGCCCCACCUCUCUACUCACCGCCCAGCCACAGUGCCCUGAAAGGGCCAAGCUUUCCACAAGCCUCCUCCACGUGUGAUUCCCAGAUCCUACCAUCCUCCAGGGCUCUGCUGAAAUGCCCUGUCCUCAGGGAAAUUGUCCCUGAUGCCCACUGGCCUCAAUCCUCCUGCCCCCAGCUCCCAUCCCUGCCUUGACAUCUUCCUUGGUACCUCUCAUCACGCAAGUCACCUACGUCUCUCCUUCCAAGAGGAAGAGUCUUUGCUUUUUGGUACCAAAUCCCCAGGGCCUGGCACAAAACUUGUCACAGAGCUGGAGCCGGCAGAGUAAGUCUGUUGGUUAAGUGAUUUUGGUAUCCAGGUAUUUUUGACCCUUCAGGAGACUUUAUCCUGGGCCCAGAGGACUCUAAGAGGCCCUAAAUUUGAGGGGAUGGUGAGUUGAUGGGAUUCAAACCUUGAUCAGGGAACAAGAUCCCAUGUGCUGCAACUGAAGAUCCUGCAUGCCACAACUAAGACUCGGUGCAACCAGAAAAAAAAAGCAGCAAAACCUGGAUACAUAGAUGAAGACGGUCACAUGACAACAAAGGGAGAUUGGAGUGAUGUAGCCACAAGCCGAGGAGCACCAGGGACUGCUGGUAACCAUCAGCCAGGAGAGGCAUGGAGUAGACCCUCAGCUGGAGCCUCCAGGGGUGGCACAUUGGUCAAGAACCCGCCUGCCAGUGAAGGAGGUGCAAGAGACGUGGGGUCAGUCUCUGGGUCGUGAAGAUCUCCUGGUGAACAUGGCAACUCACUCCAGUAUUCUUGCCUGGGAAAUCCCAUGGACAGAAGAGCCUGGCAGGCUACAGUCCAUAGAGUCACAAAGAGUUGGACAUGACUGAGUACACAGUGGAGGCUCUAGAAGGAACUAAUCUUGCUGAUACCUUAACCUCAGACUUCUGGCCUCUGGAACUGAGAAAAUUAAUUUCUGUUGUUUUAAACCCCUCCACUGGCUUGUGGUAUAUUUUUACAGCCACGCUGGAAAACUAAUUUUAUAGAGGAGACAUUCUGAUUAGGAGCCUUUGGGGGAAGAGGAGUUUUGCCUCCCAAAUCCAGAUUCUGAUUCUGCAAGUACGUACCGGAUCCCAUCCGGUGACUUGACUCCUGGGGUAGGAACUGUUAACUUCCCUUGUUUUAUAGAUGAGGCAACUGAAACUCAGAUAACUUGCUCAGUCACAUGGAAGUCAGAGAGUGGAGGUCUGAUUUCAAGUGUAAGAAUUUUUCCAUGAACACAGAGUUGGUGCUUAAUGGCCUAAUUCUUGUGAAACAUCAGCACGUUGAAAGUUUAAUACUGGGGUUCUCAGUGACACCCCCUGUCCCUACCCUGGAUCUCAAGACCUCACUGUGCUUUCCUCUGCUUCCUUGACAACACUGAGUUCACGUUUUCAGGACUUCAGGUCUCAACACACACCCCAGGGUGCAAGGGGGUUAGAGAUUCUGUAAAGGCCGGCAGUUGCUUCUGGAUGGCUGGGGUAGAGGGCAGAACCAGUCUCAAAAAAAAGUAAUGGCACACCAAGAAGGAAGCUGUUUCUGCAACUGGGGUGUGGGUCCAGUGCUCGGGAAUUGGAGACACCUGGCUGGCAGGAGAGGGCUCCUCAAAGGAGUUGGGAAUCGAGUUGCCAGAUAGAACAGGAGGCCCAGUUAUAUUUGAAUUUCAGAUAAACGAUGAAUAACAGUAUUGCUUGGGACAUACUUAUACUGAAAAAUUAUCUCAAAUUCAGAUUUAACUGGGUGUUCUGUAUUUUGACUUGUAGUCUGGCAACCCUAGUUAGGAAGGGAAAGGCAGGUUAGCAGGAUGGAGGGGAGGAAAGGUCUAGAACACACGACUUCCAGUGCUGGAAGAUGACUUUGCCGUGAGCCCAGGAGGCUGUGUGAAUGCACUGAAUGGGGCACCGUCCACCCACCCGGGCAGACCCAUGGCACCAGGGUCUGUGUGGGGGCCUGGGCCAACAACUUACCUCCAGAGGCUGGGCGCCUGUGAACCCCGUCAACACUCGGAAUCGCAUAACAACCAGGAGCAGACAAGGAGAGGGCGGGACUCUGGCCGUUCACCUCCAAGGCUUGGCAGGACUCAGCCAGGCUCAAGUGGAGGAUGUGGGCCUGGGACCCAGGGGAGGAACAGGAGGGGACACAGGCGGGAGCUGGCACCAGGACCCAGCUAGUGACCAGAGCAAGUUGAAACCCUGGGAGGCCCCAGCUGAGAAAGCGAACAUGGCUGCCCAGAGGACAGUUUUCAAACAUCACCAGGGAUGAUGAUGGGACCCUCAUCUCCUCUCCCAGGGACAGCAGGCUCACAGGAGGGUCUGCAGGGUGAGGCCCUGCCCUGGAGACUGUUACCUGGUGAGGCCCGCUCUUCCUAUGAGAGGUUGGCCCCAGAAGUUCCGAGACCAGGCCUCCCCUCUUUCACCCUCCCUCCCCCAGCACAGAGACACCAUCAAGUCAGGCAAGAAAAGCAAAGUGUUUAUUUACAUCUUGGUCUGUACACGAGAGUUCCCCAGGGAGCCUGCCUCUGCAAGCCUGCUCCUUUUUGGCCCGGGAGCAGGCGGGAGGCAGAGGGCUCGGGACCCUAGGACUCAGCCUUGGAGCCUCAACCCCCUCUCCCCAAGCUGGGGCCUGGAUGUGGAGGUCUCGCCCCAGCCCCAGAGCUAAGCCUGCUUCUGGAUGGAGGCUCCAGGGGCAGAAGACUCGGGUGAAAUCCCACGAUGCGUCAGAGGCACCUGACGACCUCCUGGAUGAGCCUUUGCAUGCAGCUCAUCCCUCUCAGCUCUGGAGACCCAGCGGAGAAAGUGGAAGGAGCUGGGCGCCUCAGUGAUGCGAGGUCCUGACAUCACGGGGGAUUUAACGGCACCCGGGUCUGAGCACCUUGGGCGGAAGAGCUCGGCGGUUGUUAAUGGCAGGUGUUGGGGGGACGCAGCCUGAAGCCUCUUCCUUCUGCCCGCUUGGGGUCUGAAGCUGUUCAGACAGCAGAUGGCGAUGGCCCUGAACCCAGGCCCGGCGUCAAGCCCUGGGAGCCACGCAGCUGGAGCUUCUUCUGGGGGCCCCGGGUGCAUCCUCCCAGGGGCCCACAGAGUGGCUGCAGACCCAUGACAAUCACUGCCAGGCCAAUGCUCCAAGUGAGAAAG
Molecule: long non-coding RNA, 3873 nt
Organism: Bos taurus (domestic cattle)
Lineage: Eukaryota; Metazoa; Chordata; Mammalia; Artiodactyla; Bovidae
Source: Ensembl